RNAcentral lists this long non-coding RNA (563 nucleotides) under Zea mays. Its description in RNAcentral is "long non-coding RNA (ZMAY_LNC003681)". The record is from RNAcentral. Lineage: Eukaryota; Viridiplantae; Streptophyta; Magnoliopsida; Poales; Poaceae.
CAAAUAGGAAUGUCCUUUUUCUGGUAUUCGCCCCAAACAUGAAAUUCCACCCUUGCUGCGAGAUUCGAAGCUGUGGAUCGAUGAAAUAAGGUAUUAUGGCACCUAAACCACAUGGGGAAUCGAUGAUUCACGCAUAUUUUAUAGUGGAGUCGAAACAGUUACCUUGAACUCGUUGUGGACGGCAGUGGCUAAGGCAUGGGCAGAUCCGGCGAGAGUGGUUGUUGACUGGUCUGCGGCGCCGCUUUAGCACCAUUCUGUCGGCCAUCAAUGCUGGAUUCGGCUGCAACGAACACCUCCUCACUCGAUCUUUGUCGCCGCUUUUCAAAUCCACUUGGAGGUUUGGCCCAGGCAAGGAUCCACUCUAACAAAGCUCCAGGACAACGCCAAUGAUAUGGGAUGAAGAACCCACGCUCCGGGAAGUCCUCCGGGACACACCGGGCGACGGGAGCGGAUGGGCGGUGAGCUCGGGAUGCCGUCGUCGCCGUGAGCGCGUGCGCAGGAACGUGUGGGGGAAGACAGCGCCGGAACCUCGGUACCGUCCCCCUCGACCUGGGGCAAGAGAG